This 358-nucleotide unclassified non-coding RNA is filed under the name soil metagenome. Its description in RNAcentral is "partial contains 5.8S ribosomal RNA, internal transcribed spacer 2, and large subunit ribosomal RNA". The stretch from base 1 to 120 matches the Rfam family "5.8S ribosomal RNA", at positions 35 to 154 of the family's 154-position model. The record is from RNAcentral.
GAUGAAGAACGUAGCGAAAUGCGAUAAGUAAUGUGAAUUGCAGAAUUCAGUGAAUCAUCGAAUCUUUGAACGCACAUUGCGCCCGUCAGUAUUCUGGCGGGCAUGCCUGUUCGAGCGUCAUUACGCCCCUCAAGUCCCCUGUGGACUUGGUGUUGGGGAUCGGCGAGGCUGGUUUUCCAGCACAGCCGUCCCUUAAAUUAAUUGGCGGUCUCGCCGUGGCCCUCCUCUGCGCAGUAGUAAAACACUCGCAACAGGAGCCCGGCGCGGUCCACUGCCGUAAAACCCCCCAACUUUUUAUAGUUGACCUCGAAUCAGGUAGGACUACCCGCUGAACUUAAGCAUAUCAAUAAGUGGAGGA